UUUGUCACGUGUCGCUCGUCACUCCUAACUUUUCACCAGCACCCGUGGGACGUUUAUGUCUGUGCUGAGGACGUGUGUAUUCAGAGCAUUAACUGAUUAUAUGCCUUUAUUUAGUUUGGACAGGAGCAAGUUCUGCUUACUGUAAAGCCUACUGGUUCAGUCCAGUCCAGGAUGACUUUUACAGUUAUACACACCAUAUAUGUGUUUAAACAGUUUCAUGGACAGCACAAAGUUGUCUCACAACAGCAUUUUUGUGCUGCUGUGGUUCCAACUUUAACUAACAGGUUUGAGUGUUUACAGAGAACGCCCCCUUUAUUCAGGGGCAAUUCAUUGACCUGUAUACUGCACCUGUAGGCUUUCAGUGAUCUGUUAUUGUGCUUAAUCCAGUGAUAUGCUUUCAUUUCAAGACACGUUAAAAAUAACUGUAAAGUUGUUUUUGUUUUUUCAAAUAAUAUCUUUAAGUGUUAUCUUGGAGGAUAAGAGAAAGAGGGGGAAGUUUUAUUAACUAAUCCUUUUUUUUUUUUUUUUUUUUUUUUUUUUUUUUCCCUCUCCCCCUACCAAAUGAGGUAAAUAAUAAUCUGCACCCACAGUUGUGCCCCGUCUCUCUCUAGUCCCAGCUACGAGUACCUCUCAGUGCCUUUGGCAGGCAUAUCGUUCAGCUCUGUGUUGGAAAGUGUGCUCGUUCGUGAGCGGUUAAGGAGAAACUCGAAGCAAAAGAGAUGUGCUGCUGCAAAUGUUUAUUGUUUUAUAUAGAAGUAUACUACAUUGAUUAUUACCCUUUCUACUUGUUCUGUCUCUUGACUUUUCUGUUCAGCGGGGCUUCACACAUGAAGUUGAUGGAAUAUCCGUUAGGUCGCCAGCUCAUUUUCAGUAACAGUUGGAGCAUUUCAGCUUGUACAAGGCAGUAUUUGUCAUGUAUGGUAACGUUCUCUAUUUUUAAAAAUUGAUUUGUCUACUCCUAAUAGUUUAAAUUCAAACAUGGGAUUCUUAUAAUUAAUCUCUAAAAUUGACGAGCCCAUGUAUAAGGGCAUUCUUGGUAAAUUGUGUCACUUUGUUUUUGUCUACAUAAAUCUCCUUUUUAAAGUGUUUUGAAUUAAAGAACCUAACUUGUUUUUUGUUUUUUGUUUUUAAAUUUUGUCUGAUAGUUAAAUAAAAUCCUGCAUAAAAUGAAUGUUAUAUACCCACCAGGAGUAUUUAACUGGACCGCAUGACUCAACAGAAGGAAAGUUCAUCGUUAUGAUCAUUUACUCAGGCUCUCAGUUUUUUGGUGUGUGUGUGUGUGUGCGCGCGCGUGUGCAACAAAAAACAUUGCACUUGUUUUUUUGGGUUUUUUUUGUUUGUUUUUUUCCUUUCAUGUCAAGUUCACCUUGUGGUCUACACACUCAGGAUAUGCCCCAAAAAUGUCACUGCAAUGCAUAGAUCUCUUCGCUGUGUGGCAGGAGGAUUUAGUAACCUACUUGUUUUAAACUGGGUCAUAACACAAUCACUGGAAUAUAAAAUGCUGUAUAUCAUUGCAAUAGGUGAGUAUUCAGUUGGUAUCUCUUUUUGGAGAUGUUUCUGCUUUUGUUAAAACAGACAGACACUGACAUGUCUUCUUUGUAGGGGUAUAGUCAGUGUAUUUCAAGCUACUCUCUACUCAGUCAGUGUCUCAGCCGACAUGUUGCUACCACUGGCUUCCAGCAGGCUUCUGUAGCCAAAGAACAUACAUGUAAUGUCAGCUUUGUCUUUUGAGAUUUUUCUUAUUACAUUUUUAUACAUCAUUAUAUAGGUUGAUGUGAUUUUUGAAAACCUGUUUUGUUAAAGGAUUAAUAAAGUCAGAUAUUUUCAACUGUC
Molecule: long non-coding RNA, 1833 nt
Organism: Oreochromis niloticus (Nile tilapia)
Lineage: Eukaryota; Metazoa; Chordata; Actinopteri; Cichliformes; Cichlidae
Exons: 2
Source: RefSeq, a predicted model, not a curated record